UGCCCCAUGGCUGAGUUGGUUACAGCGUCCGACUGUUAACAGGCAAUCGGAAGGUCGAGAGUUCGAGCCUCUCUGGGGCAG
Molecule: non-coding RNA, 81 nt
Organism: Armillaria luteobubalina
Lineage: Eukaryota; Fungi; Basidiomycota; Agaricomycetes; Agaricales; Physalacriaceae
Source: the annotation of a GenBank genome assembly